ACAGUCCAUGUCCCUUUGGCCUAGAAACAGUCCUGUUUAUGUGUAUGUGCAUAUGUGUGCAGCAGUUCUUUGUUUUUUUUAAAAGUUCUUUCACAGUCCAUAUGAACAAUAAGUGUGUGUACUAGUUGAUAAGAACAAUUAGUGUGCUCUCAAUCUCUGUUUCAGUUUCAGUUCAAGUUUAAUACACAGAUGGUGGUCUUGGGUAGGGAAACACUGUUGGCACCCAAGCUGUAAAUGUAGGUGUCCACAUGUUAGGAAAGUGUGGAUCAUAUCCAGAACCAGUUACUUGCACUUUGUAACAGGUCUGUCACUUGACUCAAUUUCCUCUGGUACUUUCGCAGGUACAUGAGCAGGUGUGGGAACAUCUUGUUUCACUUCAGCUGUAG
Long non-coding RNA from Carassius auratus (goldfish), 386 nucleotides. RefSeq lists it as uncharacterized. The record is from RefSeq and is a predicted model, not a curated record. NCBI's taxonomy places the organism in Eukaryota, Metazoa, Chordata, Actinopteri, Cypriniformes, Cyprinidae. The transcript is spliced from 3 exons.